This 252-nucleotide ribosomal RNA is filed under the name uncultured bacterium. RNAcentral describes it as "partial 16S ribosomal RNA". It matches the Rfam family "Bacterial small subunit ribosomal RNA", at positions 524 to 776 of the family's 1533-position model. The record is from RNAcentral.
UACGGGGGGAGCAAGCGUUGUUCGGAUUUACUGGGCGUAAAGGGCGCGUAGGCGCCUCCGCAAGUCAGUUGUGAAAUCUCCGAGCUUAACUCGGAAAGGUCAACUGAUACUGCGGGGCUAGAGUGCGGAAGGGCAACUGGAAUUCUUGGUGUAGCGGUGAAAUGCGUAGAUAUCAAGAGGAACACCUGCGGCGAAGGCGGGUUGCUGGGCCGACACUGACGCUGAGGCGCGAAAGCUAGGGGAGCGAACGGG